Molecule: ribosomal RNA, 1238 nt
Filed under: metagenome
Description: SSU rRNA
Rfam family: Eukaryotic small subunit ribosomal RNA
Source: RNAcentral
AGUCUGGUGCCAGCAGCCGCGGUAAUUCCAGCUCCAAUAGCGUAUAUUAAAGUUGUUGCAGUUAAAAAGCUCGUAGUCGAAUUUUGGGGCUGAGGCGGGCGGUCUGCCGUUUCGGUAUGUACUGCCUCGCCUGGCUCUUUUUCCUGGGGAACUGUUGGGUCGUCGCAAGGCGGCGUGGCAGCAAGCCAGGGUGUUUACCUUGAAAAAAUUAGAGUGUUUAAAGCAGGCGCAAGCUUGAAUAUAUUAGCAUGGAAUAACUGAAUAGGACUUUGGUCUUAUUUUGUUGGUUUAAGAGACCAAGGUAAUGGUUAAUAGGAACAGUCGGGGACAUUUGAAUUGCUGAGCUAGAGGUGAAAUUCUUGGAUUUCAGCAAGUCAAACUAGGGCGAAAGCAUCUGUCAAGGAUGUUUUCAUUGAUCAAGAACGAAAGUUAAGGGAUCAAAGACGAUCAGAUACCGUCGUAGUCUUAACCGUAAACUAUGCCGACAGGAGAUUGGGCAAAGUUGCUUAUGACUUGCUCAGCAUCCCACCGAGAAAUCCAAGUUUCUGGGUUCUGGGGGGAGUAUGGUCGCAAGGCUGAAACUUAAAGGAAUUGACGGAAGGGCACCACCAGGAGUGGAGCCUGCGGCUUAAUUUGACCCAACACGGGAAAACUCACCAGGUCCAGACAUAGUAAGGACUGACAGAUUGAAGCUCUUUCUUGAUUCUAUGGUUGGUGGUGCAUGGCCGUUGCUAGUUCGUGGAGUGAUUUGUCUGGUUAAUUCCGAUAACGGACGAGACCGUAAUCUUUAAAUAGCGAGACGCAUUUUGAAUGGGCUGACCGCUUCUUAAAGAGACUCUAGACUCUUAGUCUAAUGAAGUACGGCUCUAACAGGUCUGUGAUGCCCUUAGAUGUUCUGGGCCGCACGCGCGCUACACUGACAGAGCCAGCGAGUCUACUCCUGGGCCGGAAGGCUCUGGGAAAUCUUGCAAAUUCUGUCGUGAUGGGGAUAGUUCAUUGCAAUUAUUGAACUUGAACGAGGAAUUCCUAGUAAGCGCAAGUCAUCAGCUUGCGUUGAUUACGUCCCUGCCCUUUGUACACACCGCCCGUCGCUACUUCUGAUUGAAUGGUUUAGUGAGGACUUUGGAUUGCUGGUUUGCUGCUGGCAACGGCUGCGGACUAGUGAGAAGCUGUCCAAACUUGGUCAUUUAGAGGAAGUAAAAGUCGUAACAAGGUUUCCGUAGGUGUACCUGCGGAAG